UUUUUUUUUUUUUUUUUUCUUCUUUUCCUUUUUGGAAUGCUGGCCAUCGGCAAACAAAAACAUGGGGUGUUUCUUUAAAAUCAAAAGAAUGGCUGUUGAAGAAAUGACUAGUAGCGAGUGAGGGCUACUCAGUGGAGAAAUCUGACGGUGACAGGAAGGAAUGAGAUGGAGCAGCAGCUGGACGAGCGCGGAGGGCUUGGGGCAGCAGCUGGAGUGGGCAAGCUGGGGGCUGCCAGGGGAAGGGGCCAGGGUGGGGGGGAGCAUCUACUUCCUUUAAUGCCUAUAUGGCCUUUUUAAAUUAAAAAACUAAUAGUCCUCCUUUGAACAAAUUCAAACAGUCCAGUGUGUGUUUGUGUGUACACUGACAGAACCCUCAGCCCUGCCUCCCGCUCCCGACUGUAAUAGUUCACAGUAGAGCUUUCCAGAGCUCUAGCAUUUUCUAUUAUUUGCCGACCCAUGGCUUUGGAUUAGCGUCAGACGGGCCUUGUUAAAAUACAGGAUGAGAGAAUGGCAAUGGUGAAAUUGCCCAUCUUCCUGAUGGAGAGUUCAAUAAAUUCUAUUGGUCUGGAAAGGAUCCUUCCAGACUUUUUUUUUGUCUGUGUGCAUAUGAAUACUUACAUAUAUAUUCAUUUGUAGCUUUAUGGUUGGUGGUUCUAUUUUUUUUUUUUUUUUAACAAAAGCAAGAGUAUUUUCUACCUAGAGUUGAGCAGGUUCACACUGUAAUGUGUCUUGGAGGAUCACUUCCAAGUCACCACAUAAAGAUGAACCUCAUGAUUAGAACAGCUGCUUAAUAUUCCUAAUAUUCCACAGCUCCUAAUACUCCAUAGUGUAAAUACUUGUGAAUAUAUUCAUUUGUAGCUUUAUGGUGUUUUUUUUUUUUUUUUCUUUUUUAACGAAAGUAGGAGUAUUUUAAGAAUGCCCUUCGUGGCUCAGUGCUGAAUGAAACCGACUAGCAUCCGUGAGGACGUGGGUUCGAUCCUGGGCCUCACUCAGUGGGUUAAGGAUCUGGGUUCAAACCCACGUCCUCAUGGAUGCUAGUCAGGUUUGUUCCCACUGAGCCACAACAGGAACUCCUGUCCUCUUAAGAUGCAGUCCCAUCCAAACUCAGCUAAAUCACACAGCCCUGCAAGCAGGCAGGGUUGCUACUUGAACCUGAGUGCUGACGCCACCGCUGGGGGCCCAGCUUCCUUGGGUGUCCUGUUCUCCCUAGGGAUGGUGGCUAGACAGAGCCCACAUAUCAGAAAUCUGAGGGGAGCCCCAGCAUGGUGCUUCUCUUAAGUGUGGUCCCUGAGUCAACAGGAGCCAAUCAGAAAUGCCGAUUCUCCAGCCUCAGCCCCCCCCCCCCCACUCCUGCAGAAUCACAAGCUCUCACAAGGGGACAUGGAUGUGCACUCACUUGGAGGACUUUUGCUCCAGAAAGUGGAUAGGAACCUGAUGCCCCAUCACUACCAGGUUCACUCUUCCAGGACACCAGAAGGUCUGCCCUGAAGGGGACGGGCUGGCCAACUUCAAAAUCGGUCCUCUGCACAGGGAACUAUAUCCAGUCACUUGUGAUGGAACAUGAUGGAGAAUAACGUGAGAAAAAGAAUGUAUGCAUGUAGGUUUGACUGGGUCACUCUGCUCUACAGUAAAAAUUGACAGAACACUAUAAAUCAACUACAAUGGAACAAAUAAAAAUCAUAAAAAUAAAAAAUAACGUGAAUGAAUGAAUAGAUAAACAAAUAAAUGAUGCAGGUAAAACCUAAAAAAAAAAAAAAAAAAAAAAAAAUCGGUCCUCUUCAGUGCAUUAGAGGCUGUCGGUAAAGACCCCUCCCUUCCUAAGACACCACUUCCCUCUCUCUACCUUCCCUUCUUAAAACAGAACAAAACAAAACAAAACCAAAAAAGCCCUAGAAGAGAACAGGUUCGGCUGGGGGAGGGUGGCAAUGCAAACCUAUAGCUUUCCCUUAACCAUGCCUCCCCCCCCCGCCAGGGUAAAUCGACCGCUCCCCCCAACCCACCCUCUCCCCCAGGGCCGGGGAGGGGGGGGGAACUGCCCUUGGUGGAUGGAGGGCAGUGGAGGUGGGGGAAGGGGGGAAGCAGAGGCAAUGGGAUGUGGCUUCAGGGUGGCUGGGCUGGAGGAGGGAGUCGGAGGAAGAGGAGAAAGGAAAGGAGAGGAAGGCUGUCCUCACUUCACCCAGCUGCUUCUGCCUGCACCUGUUCAGCCGAGGCCCCCGGAGCAAAGACGCCCGUAAAUGAACCGCGGCCCCACCCGGUCUAGAGGGGCCCCUUCCCACACUGCCCUGCGGCCCGGGUUAACUGACAGGAAAACUGUGAAUGGGUUCAGGUGGCUGAAAAGAGGGGCUAGGAAACAGCUGGGCUCCUCUGGGGGGUGGAGCAACUGCCUCCUGCCACCCCCAGGCUCUUAGAGUUUGGGGCUGCUUGGGGAAGGUCUGGACCAGAUCAGGGACCGGCCAACUUCCCUCUGAUUCUGAAGGGGACUCGCUGCAGAGAGGGGCGCUUGAGUAGAAAUAGUCCCUGCCCGCAAUACCCACUACCACCACCAGCUUCCCACCCCCAACACCCCAGCCCCGUUUUUCAGUCCUGCAACAUUCCACAAUAUUCAUAGGUGCUCUAGGGACAAUAACUUUCACUUAAAAAAAGCAAAAAAAGUAAAAAGACUUUAUUUUUAGAACAGUUUUAGAUGCACAGAAAAACCAAGCUGUGAAAAUUGGCAGGAAAUUUAAAAACUUUCCUCUUGGUCUGGCCCCCUGAGAAACACACCAUGGUGGUUCAUCCAUGCAGUCAAUGGGUCUGUCCGUCAAUCAGUUAUUUUUAUAGAUAUCGGAGGAGCGCUUUCAACAGCAAUUCUCAGACUUGUUUAUUAAAGAGGCAGGCUCUGUCUGAGUCUCCCCACCAAAGAUUCUUAUUCAGGAGGUCUGGACUGGGGCCAUGGGUUGGGUAUUUCUGACACUCCCUGCAGGAGAUGUUGGCAUCUUUGGCAUAAAUGGACAGACUGGGCCCCACUCUGAGAAACUCAGGCUUGGUUUAAGGUCCAAGGGGCCAGAGGCUCUGUGGGAAGGGAGGGGGAAAAAAGAAAAAAAAGACCUAAAUCCCAUUCCCCACCCCCACUGGAGAACAGAGGCCCCACAGAACCAAUCGAAGUAAACUGAGGCAGUGGAAGAUGGGUAUUCAGGGGCCCUGACCAUCUCAGAGAGGGAGCCCACUGACCAGAAGGCUCACCAGCACAGAGAUCCCCUCCACAGCAACGAGCAGACUCAAGACUGAGGAGGGAAUAAGCCAGGAAAAUGUCAGAGAAUCAUCUUGUUGGGAGGCCUUGAGCAAGUGAACCUUCUCGUGCCUCUAAUUCCUCAUCUGUAAAAUGGGCUCAUGAUGGUUCCUACUAGAUACAGUUAAAACAGUGUUAUGCGCAGAGAAUUCAGGACACUGCCUGGCACAGAAUAAGCAACAGGCCAUGAAAGUUGUCAUCACCAGGAAAAAGAGGAGCCCCGAUUGGCCGAGGGGAGUGGAGAGGGCCGGAAGGAAGCCUUGAGUCCUCGGGAAAGCGAGUGCCCCCUGAGGACGAUGAGUGAGGUUGCAGCAUUGGGACCACAGGUGAGAACCUGUAGGAUUAGGCUGGAAAAUGAGGUAGGGGAGUGGUACUGGUUGAAUUGUGUUCUCUCAAACAACACACUGCAGUUUCUAACCCCCAGGAUCUCAGAGUGUGACCUUAUUUGGAAAUAGGGUUGUUGCAGAUGUAGUUAAGAUGAAGCCAUAUUGCAGUAGGGUGGCCCUUAAAUCCAGGAUGACUGGUGGCUUUCUAAAAAGAGAAGGAACAGGGCCACAUGUGAAGACAGAGGCAGACUGGGGUGAUGCACCUGCAAGCCAAAGAACAGCGGGAGUAACCAGAAGAUGAAAGUAGAAAGGAAGGCGCCUCUCUUACAGGCUUCAGGGGAGCUCAG
Molecule: long non-coding RNA, 3941 nt
Filed under: Sus scrofa (pig)
Lineage: Eukaryota; Metazoa; Chordata; Mammalia; Artiodactyla; Suidae
Description: lncRNA (ENSSSCG00045009548.1)
Source: RNAcentral